ACUUAAUAACUUCAACUAUAGACCUGAAAGGGUGUCCAUGAUGCACUCCUUGCAAGACAAAGUUCAUAGCCAUUCUUGAAUCACAAUCUACAUAAAUGUAUUAAUAUGCAUAAACCAGGCUACCUGAAGAGCAAUUGGGACACCCCAAAGUUUUGUCAUUAGCACACUAAAGGACCUAAGGUUCCUAACAAAACAUGUGAACCAUGUCCCAUUUGACAUUCUAAAAGCAUCAACAUAUGUUGUUUGUUGGUUAGGACUUCUAACUGAUGCAUUUGUAUUCAUCUUAGUCCAACCAGACUUAGGAGGAACUUAAGCCAAGGGCGUCAAUUGUUUACUACCUGUGACCCCUCCUGAAAACAUGCCCUUGCUCGAAUAUCACGAGCUAUAAAGAGUCCCCACCAAAAUCAUUCUCAGAAUAACACAUGUUUAUUAUGAGAAAACCAAAUGAGAUGAACUCCCAUAGAAAAAUAGUCUUCCAAAUAGCUCCCUCAUUAAUAUCAAUCUUAGAUUUCAGGUUUUGCAAAAACCAAUCCAACACAUCCAUGUCAAAGAAGUUGUUAUCGACAUCAGGAAAAAGUUUGAACCAAAUGACUUGGACCUUUUCACAGCCUCACAACAAAUAUAGAAUGGAUUCAUCUUCAUAGGACAAAGAAGACAUAAAGAGUUGUUACCAAACUCGCUUUGUUGCUUAACCCGCUUCCCCAUUGAAACACAUUAAUCACAACUCCUUUACGCACAUCUUUCCAAAUGAAACAAUGGUCAUGAGGUUGAAUAUCCAGGGACCAAACGUGCUUCCAAAUACCACUUACCCCAUGAACUUCCUCACCUUUAAGCAAAAAAUAAGUAAACUUUGUAGUAAAUCCACCAUCUAGUGUAUUUGCUCAACUAAUGUGAUCCUCCCCAAUGUCUCGUGAGGUGAAACACAACCAACAAUCUUUGCCAACAACCAAACAGGGAUAAAAUGCUGGAAAUGAGAAAUAUCCUAAAACCCUCUAUUUUGAUGUAAUCACUUAUAAAUAAAUUUACUUCACUAUAAGAAGGGUUCUGAAUAAGAAAUUUAAAAAUAAUAAGACCAAAUGACAAUCAUCUGUCUUUCCAAAACCUAAUCCUUUUCCCAUUUCCAUCAACUCACCUACAUCCCAAAAGAACAAAAUUCCAGACUAAGAAAAUUUCUCGUCAAACAUCUGAACAAUUAUUCAUACGUCUAAUAGAAGGUAAAGAAUGAUCAUCACAAUUAUAUUUACUUUUAAAACUCAAACCCACAAAGCAUCAUGAUCAAUCACCAAAUCCCAAGUCUAUUUCAUAACAAGAGCACAAUUAAAAAGUUUUAGAUCAUGAAAUCCCAAACCAUCAACAUCCUUCUCAUGACAAAAUGUAUUCUAACCAAUCGAGUGACAUCUCAGAUGAUUCGAAGACUUAUCCCACACAAAAACUCCUAUUCAGGCCCUCUAGUUUAUUACAAUCCUGAUUUAGGAGAAGAACCAUUUGCAUGAUAUACGUCGGAAGAGCAACAAUAAUCGCUUUGGCUAAGGUACAUCUCUUUGUAAAAGAAAGGUUAUUUGUCUUCCAAGAGCUUUGAAUUCAUGGAGUUGUGGGGGUGGUUGGGGAGACAAAAAAGAGGAAAACAAGAAAAAGAGAAAAAAGAAUGACUUGUCGUCGUCAAAAA
RNAcentral lists this long non-coding RNA (1666 nucleotides) under Glycine max (soybean). RNAcentral describes it as "long non-coding RNA (GMAX_LNC000486)". Lineage: Eukaryota; Viridiplantae; Streptophyta; Magnoliopsida; Fabales; Fabaceae. The record is from RNAcentral.